CGGGGUUUCGAUUGGCAUUCGGGGUAAUGAGUGCCUAUCGGGACGUCACGACAGUUGUCACGGGCCCGAUGAGAGUUUCGAGUUGUGACAAUACUGAUCAAGUGUACAUAUAUUGUCUAAACGUACAAUUUAAUAAUUUACAUCACUUGUACAUAUUUACAACAAAAUGACUCUGUGUUUCCAGCGGAGUGACCAUAAUGAAGGUGUAGCUAUGGAAUGCCAUUGAUACCUACCAAAGGUACGAAUCUACGAGGUCACCUUGACCUAGUUAUCGGCUGCCUCUUGAUCUGAAAACAUGAAGUUGAAAACGGUGAGUAUAAACCCAGUGAGUGAACAAGAAUGGGAACAAGCAAACAAUAAGGAAUGUUUAACGAAAUCAUGAUGCAUUCAUUUUUCAAAACAAUGCAAUUUAUUUUAGUUCUUAUUAAAACCCCUCAUGUACCCCACAUGAGUAAAUCACCUUAUAAAAAGGAUCCAUGUUCAACAAAGGGUUUGGAGAGUGAAAACUUUAAUAGCAUUAAUGCGAAUCAAGUCAAAUAAACGACGGGUCCUUGUUACAGGGGAAAGGAGCGAGAAUAAAUUUUUGCUGCAGCGACACUUGACUAAAAUUAUCAACUAGCUGAGGGUUUCUUAAAUGGCCGAGGGUUUCUCACCAAACCUUCUUAAUUUAAACUUAAUUCAUUUAUUCCUUAAUGUUGGAAGUUUAUGCUCAACUAUGGUAUCAAAGAAAUGGAAAAUAGGGCAACAACCGAACCAAAUGAGGAGCAAAACAGAAAGUUUUUUGCUGUAGCGAGAUUCAACCUUGUUGCAGAGAAAUUUUUGGUCUCAAAACAAAAAGUUUCUCAUUGCAGCGAGAAGCUAUAGUAACAUUCUCCCUACAGCGAGAUUUUUGGGCAGCCUUACCCCUCUAACUUGAGAGUUUCUCACUGCAGCGAGAAACAGAGCAAUGAGAAAAAAUUUCCUUCCUUUCAAGAAAAAGCCAUCCUGUUGAAAUGACAAAUUCAACAUAAAACACAUAAAGGUUUCCAAAGUUCAACAUGCCAAAUUCAUAUGCAUUUCAACCAUAAACCAUACACAUGAGUUUUCAUUCUCUAAACAUAUAUAUACAUAUACAUACAUGGAUAAAUACCAAUACCAUUAUCAUCACAUCUAGCUCAUGUGCAUCCCCCCAUAUCGUGCACAUAGCCGGAGUCAUCAUGUGCAUCCCCCCACAUCGUUCACAAUCAGUGCCAUCAUCCCCCCACAUCCUGCACACACACGGUUAUAAUUCUCACACAAUAUC
This 1282-nucleotide long non-coding RNA is filed under the name Theobroma cacao (cacao). Its description in RNAcentral is "long non-coding RNA (TCAC_LNC004867)". Lineage: Eukaryota; Viridiplantae; Streptophyta; Magnoliopsida; Malvales; Malvaceae. The record is from RNAcentral.